AAAUUUUAAUCCUGUUCAUAACUUGUUUGACCUUUUUUGUUUUUUGUAGCCCUCUGCAGUUCCAGGAUGUAAUUCUAACCUUAAGAUCAACAGACAUAAGGACCCAUUGUUUUGAAUUUUCCCAACAGUUUCAGUAUUUUCAGACCAAACAACAGAAAAAAAGAACAGUAAACAAACUUAUUACCCUCAACUAACAUCAAUCCACCUGAGUAUUACCACGUCAGGUGUCUCCCUCCCCUUAUUUUGUUGGACGUCCCGAAAGCAAAGAGCUGAUCCACACGAGAGAAUAGCUAUGGCCCGGUCCAGUCAGCAGCCUCAGUACAGCUGUAGUAACCCAGAGCAGUCAGCUCCCCCUGCACAGGAUGCUGACCGGCCACACCCAGAAGAGGAGGAGAUAGUGAGAGAUGAGUGUGAUUCAGCAGUGUCUGGAGCUCCACCUGCUGAGCAUGACAUUUCUCAAACCAGAGCUGCAGGCCCUGCUCGCCCUCCCUCGUACUCAGCACGGACAGGGUAGAACCAGUAGGUUAUUAUUAAAGGAUAUUGUUGUUACAUGGUGUCCAUGCCAGAAGAAAAUCUUUAAAAAAAAAGAUGCUGUUUGAAACCAUCCCCAUGUUCACUGGAGGAACCUGCAACCCUCAGUUCAUGGUGUACCAGCUGAAGAUGAAGAUCCACACGUCGAACCCGAGAAGACAAGCUGAUGCUGUUUGAGUUCCCGCAGCCGCUUCCUGUUUGUGGAGACAUCAUGGUGGAGUCCUUCCACAAGUAGAACAAGAUGAUGAGGACGGUGAAGCUGUACUUCACUAAGACGGUAGAAGAAUUAGCUAACUGUGACGCCAGCAGCACGUUGGCCUCUGUGACACUGAACGUUAGCGACACCUGAGAGGGAGUGAGGGAGAGACGGAGGGAGAGAGAGAGAGACACAGACAGCAGGUCAUUACUGUACCUGCACACAUGACAAGACUACAGGUUGUUCCUGCACCUGUGAUGGAGCCGCUCAUACACAUUCAAGGACAAGAGCCACUCACUGCCUCCAUGUUGGCUGCAGCUCCACUCAUGGAUCAAUAACAGCUUCUUGGGGAGCGACUGUACCCAAUGAUUCAGGCCCUUCAGCCAAAUUUGGCUGGUAAAAUUACUGGGAUACUGCUGGAGAUUGACAGCUGGGAGCUGCUGUACAUGCUGAAGGCUGCUGAAGAGAUAUUUGAGCUGUUUGAAAGAACGAUAGCAGAGCAGAGCAUAUGACUGUGAGUGUUACUGUGAUCUUUUGGUCUGCAUUGGUAAAUUUCACCCUGAUAUUUUAGUCAUUAACUCUACUAAUUCAUGUGAAACCCUGAGUGGCUUGGCAGGGCAAAACUAGGGCAACAGUGGGUGAUUGGGGUAAAGGAGCACAAGACAGCAGCACAGCAAGUGGCUGCCUUUGCCCCAUCAGAGGAGGAGGUGCAUGUAAGUUCAUCACAUUUCCUGUCAGAACCUGUCAGAACAUUAACCUUAAUUUUUUCUCCUCUGCCAACAGUGGUUUGAUGUCUCCUACAGACUGGUGCAGCCACAACUCCUGAGACCCACCAGGAAUUGCAAGAGGGAUGUGAAAUGGAAACAUUUGAACAGUUGUGAUAAUCUGGGCCUACCUGCUGCACCGGGGCAAGUUCCAGGAGGCGCUGGGCUUCUACAGAGAGGUCCUGACACGAGACAAGAAGUGUGUGACCAUCCCCAGUCAGCGGCACUGUGUCAUCUACUACAGCUUCCUGCUGAGGAACCAGCUGCUGUACAAACCCGUCGCUCUGCUCUUCCACAAGAUGCUGUUUGAAACCAUCCCCAUGUUUACUGGAGGAACCUGCAAACCCUGCAAGUCCUGCCACAAGAUGAACAAGAUAAUGAAGAAGAUGAAGUGGAGGACAAGCUCAAAGGUGCAGGCACUGAUGGGAAACCUCCUCAGGCCGCGAUGUGAAGUUCAUUGUGAAAGACUCAGUAGAGGAGAAGAUGGUGGAGAUCCAGAGGGGGAAGCAGGACCUGGUGGAGAAGGCUUUUGGCUCCAAGAACAAUGACAGGAAAACAUCUUGCAUCAAUGACAUCAAGGCUCUGAUGGAGCUAUAGAUGUCUGACAAUGGGCCUGAGCUAAUGUGUCAACAGUGCAACAAGACAAACCUUGAACCAUUACAACAGUUGACUGUGUCCUCUAUUGUUGUCUCAGUUCAUAUCUGAGAGUUUUUGCACACAUUGUUAAUGUUUGCUUCCUACUUUGAAUUUGAUAUUUUGCUUUCAUAGUUUAUAAUUUUUGUUCUAUUUUGAUUCCAGCUGUUUUAUUAAAAUUUUGAUAAGUAGUUUUGUAAGUUUAAUUGUUCUAAGUAGUUGCCAUUAUUUGUUUUGCUUUUAGUCCAGACAUAUAUUUAUGGAUCGCCAACACAUUCAGCACACAAACGAGUGCUUUGGCAGUAUGUACAGUGUUACCUCAUGCCAAUAAAGCCAGUUGAAUUGAGAGAGAGA
Acanthopagrus latus (yellowfin seabream) is the source of this 2478-nucleotide RNA transcript. RefSeq lists it as uncharacterized. The transcript is spliced from 5 exons. The record is from RefSeq and is a predicted model, not a curated record. Lineage: Eukaryota; Metazoa; Chordata; Actinopteri; Spariformes; Sparidae.